GGCGCACAACUUCCAAAUGCUGAGUGGCGUGGAAUGCCAUUCGGGUCAGAGGCCCGCUUUCUUUUGUCCAAUAGCUUGUUUGUUUACACCCUCACUUUCAGAAAUGCUCAAUGGUGAAUGCUAACUGAAACAGUGUGGGAUCUCAGCGGGAAAUGUACAAAAAAAGAUAGAGGAACCCGAACUGGUAAAUCGUGAGCUAACUGUCAGUCAUCGACCAACUCCAAAAGAUCUCCCUGGACACGUAAAGCAGAUUUUAAAAUGGAAAAGCUGUGGACUCCUGGGAGCACCGAGCUUCACCUUCUCCGCGCUCACACAUCCCAGUGACCUGAGAACAGCAGGGUCCCAGUUCUGGGCUGCUGACCUGAUCGCCGACUGGACGCUUGAGCGAUGCCUCAGAUGUUCUGAGUUUGUUUCUGUCUGAUUCUCUGCAACCCAAACCUGUCCAGACACGUGGACUCCAUCACUGACUCUGUCUCUAAAGU
This 482-nucleotide long non-coding RNA is filed under the name Oryzias javanicus (javanese ricefish). RNAcentral describes it as "lncRNA (ENSOJAG00000009803.1)". Lineage: Eukaryota; Metazoa; Chordata; Actinopteri; Beloniformes; Adrianichthyidae. The record is from RNAcentral.